CGCGUAGGCGGGCGAUCAAGUCAGGGGUGAAAGCCUCCAGCUUAACUGGAGAAGUGCCUCUGAUACUGGUUGUCUCGAGGGGGAUAGGGGCAUGCGGAACUUCCGGUGGAGCGGUGAAAUGCGUAGAUAUCGGAAGGAACACCGGUGGCGAAAGCGGCGUGCUGGAUCCCUUCUGACGCUGAGGCGCGAAAGCCAGGGGAGCGAACG
This 207-nucleotide ribosomal RNA is filed under the name uncultured bacterium. RNAcentral's name for it is "partial 16S ribosomal RNA". It matches the Rfam family "Bacterial small subunit ribosomal RNA", at positions 568 to 774 of the family's 1533-position model. The record is from RNAcentral.